Molecule: ribosomal RNA, 428 nt
Filed under: uncultured bacterium
Lineage: Bacteria
Description: bacterial SSU rRNA
Rfam family: Bacterial small subunit ribosomal RNA
Source: RNAcentral
GGGGAAUAUUGCACAAUGGGGGAAACCCUGAUGCAGCCAUGCCGCGUGUGUGAAGAAGGCCUUCGGGUUGUAAAGCACUUUCAGUUGUGAGGAAAAGUUAGUAGUUAAUACCUGCUAGCCGUGACGUUAACAACAGAAGAAGCACCGGCUAACUCCGUGCCAGCAGCCGCGGUAAUACGGAGGGUGCGAGCGUUAAUCGGAAUUACUGGGCGUAAAGCGCACGCAGGCGGUUUGUUAAGCUAGAUGUGAAAGCCCCGGGCUCAACCUGGGAUGGUCAUUUAGAACUGGCAGACUAGAGUCUUGGAGAGGGGAGUGGAAUUCCAGGUGUAGCGGUGAAAUGCGUAGAUAUCUGGAGGAACAUCAGUGGCGAAGGCGACUCCCUGGCCAAAGACUGACGCUCAUGUGCGAAAGUGUGGGUAGCGAACAGG